GUAGCUUGCAUUUUACCAUCCUUAGCAUAGCAUGUUUGUUGCAGCUGCAACAAAGAUCAGAAACGACGGCCCGUGAGUUUGUUUUAACUUAAACCAAGACAAAAAAUGUCGACUAGAACAGGUAGUUGUGCAGCUGCGUUUAAAAGAAAUGUGUCACAACUCGUGCCGAUGACAUCCCCAACCCGGAUGUAGCGCCGCGGUCCGAAACAAUGAUAGCUUGCCUCAAUGGCUUCAGGUGGGUAUCAAAACAACGUGAGCUCAAACUACGUAAUACGAGCGCCAUGGGGACAUUAAAUAAAUGGGAGAGUGCACAGAAUUGAAAUGGUCGCUUUUUAAAAAAAAAAAAAAUGUGCCCAUUACCCUUGUUUCUACGUAGUUUGAGCUCACGUUGUUUUGAUACCCACCUGACGCCAUAGGAAAGAGGCUGCGCUGUGGAACCCAAACUCUUGGGAUUAAAAAAAAACGUUUCCUCACAAACGCCAUGGAUCGCAGAGAGGAUGACACGCUGUGAGAGCAAAACAGGAUCACUGUUUAUGAAUUCAGGAGGAACCAGAACUGGACCAACUCACCAAAGAGUCACUUCCUGUCCUUCCCCUGGAGGCGAUGGGUGCAGUCCUCCAUGUCCAACAUUGACAAUGUGCACUGAUCCAGUCCAGUCUGCUGGAGCACUCCCUUGGCAUGAUGGUGGAACUGAAGCCUGCAGUUAGCUUGCAGCGGCUCAGAAAGCAAUUUAGUCGCCAACAUGGCGGCUGAAUGAAGCGACGGAAGGACAAUACGUCGCUUCUCAUUAGCGCUAAUGGGCUGACCGUGAUAGAGGAGGACGAAGAGGCCGACACCACUCAAGAGCCAGCCCGGGAUCUGCAGAUUCACUCACCCUGGAGGUCAAAAACACUCUGGAUGCAAAACUCCCUCACACACACACACACACGCACACAUACGGAUUGAGGACAAACACGAUCACAAAACAGAGAAACACUCCAAGAUGCUUUUUGGUAAGUUCACUUUCUAUGUGGACUAGUUGAAAGAUCAGUUCACCACUGCAAAACUAGUUUAUAGUUGCUAACAGGCUAUUGCCCUUCAAAUAUUGUUCUGGCAUUUGAGCUUUCCUAUUGUUGCCACCAAUUCAGUCCACAUGAGUAGCCAGUGGCAGCUGUCACUGCAUAACAUGAGGAAAACUGUUGUUUGAAUGGUUAUUUUUUUUUUUAAAUGAGACAGUUUUAUUAGAUUAGAAAAUUAAAGUAAAAGUAAAUUAGAGGGACUUUUCUCCCCCAUGUGCAAACAAAAACACAAACAUAGUAUGAAAAGAACGAUGAUGAAAGGAUCUUGAUAACUUUGUGUUCCUUGGAGCCCUGGCUGUCAUGCCCCUGGCAUCCUCCCCAGGCUGGGUGUGGUCAGCCAAUUAGUCGGCACACACCUGCACUCUUUUUCGGCUGAUUACACCCAGUACUUAUAGGACACGGGGGACAACUAGUCCUCCGCCAGAUCGUUGAUUCCCAUGCCUCUUUCCCGCACUCCCGUAUACCUGACCUACCGUGUACCGACCCUCGCCUGUUCCCUGACCAUCCUAGAAAGCCUGCCUCUUCUGAUCCUGCUGCUUUUCCUGACUG
Syngnathoides biaculeatus (alligator pipefish) is the source of this 1607-nucleotide long non-coding RNA. RefSeq lists it as uncharacterized. NCBI's taxonomy places the organism in Eukaryota, Metazoa, Chordata, Actinopteri, Syngnathiformes, Syngnathidae. The transcript has 3 exons. The record is from RefSeq and is a predicted model, not a curated record.